Long non-coding RNA from Sebastes umbrosus (honeycomb rockfish), 3610 nucleotides. RefSeq lists it as uncharacterized. Lineage: Eukaryota; Metazoa; Chordata; Actinopteri; Perciformes; Sebastidae. The transcript has 3 exons. The record is from RefSeq and is a predicted model, not a curated record.
GACUGAUAACGCCUAUUUAAAGGAUACUUUUGGAAUGCUUUGAGUUUCUAAUUAUUUAUUAUUGUAGGAUUUCUUCUUAGUGUUGUUAUCUUUUAUUUAUUUUUAUUAUGUAUAAUUUUUAUGGGAUGAGAGAGCCAGGGCACAUGCAUUUUAUUACAUUUGAAUGUACAACUGUACUUUUUUAAUGUACAGUAUAUGACAAUAAACUUGAAAGUUGAACUAUUUUCUGCAUUUCCACUUCUAUUUAACAACACUACAGAUCAUUUUCAAGCACAUUUAUCACCACAAUAAAAGGUACAUUUGUAAUUUUCCUCAUCUCAGCUGCUUAUUAAAAUACAUAUUUUUAAAUAAAUGCUUUUAAAUAUCAUGAGGUGGUCCCUGUCAAAGAGCAACUAAACUGACGACUAAUUUUUUUUUACAUUUAAUUAUUUUCAAAUAAUAGCUGGCAAAAGGCAUCACUCCUCGUGCAUCUUGGUUUCGUGUAGGUUUAACUGGGUUUUGGUUGACAGAUGGUGAGACUUUAUGGAACUGCAGAGGAUGUUUGCUGAUGGCUCAAAGUUUUAUUUUGGAGAGGGAAAUAUGGGAAUCUGAGAGUCAGACAGACUUAAGAGACAUCCUGUCUCAUCUCAGCAGUUGCAGUGUUCCUAAAUCUACACAGUGUUAUCAAAUGAUGAACACACUCAAAAUGUAAAAGUUUAACCUCUGCUAUUAGUUUCUGCUGGCUUCUUGAUCCCAGCGAUAAAGAGCAUUGACUGACAGAACCGAAGACUCCAAAAUUAACUUUAAGGGGACGGAAAUUGUAUCAAACCCAAAUCACACUGAACUAUUUUUAUCAGAAUCAGAAGUAUUGGUAUACUGAAGCAUAACAAGCUGCACAAUCUUUGCUUUCUAUCAGCUACAAUGGUGCAUAGGGAUCUGCAAUAACAGGCAGAUGUGGGUACGGCCAUGCCUAUACAUUUCCUGCGUCACAAGACUGAGGCACAAAAUAAAUGUAAUUAUUUUUAAUGAAAUUAAUUAAUUUUAAUUAAACAACUAAUUAAUGGAGAUUGGCAGUGCACACAACCUAUCUGGUGGGAUGGGGCUUAAGACCUUGAAAAUGUGGCUUCUUUGUCCACAGGGAAUUGGUGGUUCCUGUUCAGAGGGUCACUAUCCACAGCUUGUGUAAAGGCUCAAAGCUCCUGCUGUAUAAUAGUUAGAUCUUAGGAUCAGAUGUAUAGUAGUUGGAUCUUAGGAUCAAUCUGAUGGUCGACCAUGAGGCGGAACCACCGUCUGUCCCAGGCGCUGCCUCUAAGCGCUGUUUUGAUGCUCCUACCUAAGUGUCCGUGGUGGCCAAAGCAUUUACUUUGAAAAUGUUUCGAGUUCAAAGCAGGCAGUCACAAAAGCUACUUUAUCAGUGACGGAAUAGGAAUUCCACUUCUUGUUUUUUCUCUGAACUGCAGCCAUGAUUUACAAGGACGGCCAUGAGCAAUCGCACUGUGCCGUGUUACAGGUGAAAUUCUUGGACCAGCACAAGAUGGCAGACAAAGCAUAUGCAUUCGCCAAGAAUGUUUUCAUUAAUUUGUGGUAAACUGGGAUUUACUUCAUUUACUUCAUAUCAUUCCAGUGAUUUUUUUUUUAACAUUUUUUAACUUGUUAGCCUUCCUCUUGUGCCCGACUGUAUAGUAUAGUAUUUUUGCAGGCUGUCAUAUCUUUUUUUUCCCCACAGGACUGUUUGAGCUACUUUCCACUAAAAAUACAAUCACAUCCACGCUUAUCAUAAAGCUGCAGUUCAAGGCUGUUGUGCAUAAUAUUGCACUUGGCUCUUACAUUUGCACAAUGCAAACAAAGCAUCAGAGGCACUCGGAAGUGCUUUUGCAAUAGGUUUGCCUCUUGCAGUAAAGUAACUGGACUGGUUUCAGAGUCCUUAGGUUCAGAGUUUCUCUAUGAAAAAGACCUAAUCACAUUAAAAAUGACACAUAGUGAAAUCAUGAUCUUAAUGAUUUCCUUUUUGCUCUUCUGCAAUACGUUUUUAAUAAUAUUUCCCUACAUUCUUAAGUUAUCAGGUGUUACUGGCUCAAUGUCAAAAUUGAAUCUUUUACUUGUACCAGGAUCGUGUCUUAUAAUUUUUUUUUUUAAUUGGUUAAUGAUAAAAGACCGAACUUAUUCCAGUCUUUAAUUUUGCAUUUGUCUUUGGUUUGCUCUGAAUAUUAAGGGUAUGUGUCUGGCAUGGUUGUAAGUUUUGCUUUGUGCCAAAGUGUUUUUUUUAAUUUAAUUUUAUUAAAUUAGGCGUGGUCUUUAUGAUCAAAUUGGCAAUAAUGAAAUAUUUUAUAGACUGAACCUCCCAGUGCUUUCUGCUGAUAAAUGUUUUUAUAGACAACUUUGUUUGCCUGUGCUUUGUUUCCAUCGGAGCUAUUGGUGCUUAUUCUAAUUGCCCAGUUUUUCCUCUGUUUGUAUUGUUUGCAUACCAACCAAGUUAGCUUAUUAGUUGCAGCAGGUGUUUAGUACGCCUACAGCUAAAAUAGAAACGUUCAUUAAUUGAGGCAAUAUUUGUACAGUAUAUUAAUUGACAAUAAUCUGGUCUAAAAUAAAACCUGGCUGACGUUUUUCUAUCUAUUUAUUAGGUUCCUGUCAACAAAUCCCAUGACAAAACCACAACAAAUAUCCUACUGACAGCUAUAGCCUGUAGGUAGUUCCUCCAAGCUACAUAACUCCACUGCCGUCCAACACCCAUUAAAAAUACAUCCCUUUAGCACUUGGGUGACAUAUUACUCCACUGCCAUGAGCACAGCUACUUUAUUUUGAAAGAAAUGCAUUAACAUCCUGUCACAUGGGAGAAGUUUGCCUCCAGGGCUUUUCUGCUAGAAAUCUCCUUAGGGCAACAAAGCUACUUGGUUAUGUUUAGGGAAAAGAUUGGGUUAAAAUAAACCCUUUAAAGUCAGAAAGAUCCAGAAGACAAAGCUUUGCAUCCUGUGGAUGAGGAGUCAGUGUUAAGUGACAGACACAUCUGCGCAUGCGCGGCCAUGUGGCGCAUUGUUUACGUCCUUACGUCAGUGCGCGUCUCUGCCCAGGUAGACAUUACUUCAGUAUAUCUUUACAUAGGAAGUAGUUGUCUGCUGCUAACGUUAUAUUAAUGCUCUGGAUUGUGAUUUUAGCACCUUCAUGAACUAAUCUAGCCGUGCUCGUUGACAUGAGAGGACAUCCACCUGAGAUCAAAGAUGCAUUGUGUUGGAUGAGCGGCAUCACUUGUUUGGACGCCCAGAAUUUCUAACAACGUGCUGGAUGUCAGCCCUGCAGCGCCUGAUCCAUUGUUCAUCCAUGAUGUUUUCAGCCACGGUGACUCUAAGACCGUUGUGAAGUGUUGAGAGAGCAAAUUGGAAACACAGGAGAGAAAACUCAGCAGGGAUUCAGUCCCAGGACACGGGGGGCAUUUAGUUCGAGAGGCAGGAGAUUUAACCACCUGAUGAUCUCUGGAAACCCAGAAUGUUCCAGAGACAAUCAACAAAGGGUUCAAAUCGACCUCCUGUAAAAUGGCUCUUCCAGUCGUUCUCAAAGGGAUUAUGUCAAAGUCAAAUAAAUAGUGCCUCUUUCUCUCAUCGGAAAGGUUCAACAAUAAACUAGCAUCUAAACUGAA